GGUCCUAUCGUCUAGCCUGGUUUAGGACGCAUGGUUUUCAUCCAUGUAACCCGGGUUCAAAUCCCGGUAGGACCGCCA
This 78-nucleotide transfer RNA is filed under the name Candidatus Staskawiczbacteria bacterium. Its description in RNAcentral is "tRNA-Glu". It matches the Rfam family "tRNA". From Rfam's summary of the family: Transfer RNA (tRNA) molecules are approximately 80 nucleotides in length. Their secondary structure includes four short double-helical elements and three loops (D, anti-codon, and T loops). The record is from RNAcentral. Lineage: Bacteria; Candidatus Staskawicziibacteriota.